Molecule: long non-coding RNA, 1081 nt
Organism: Nerophis lumbriciformis (worm pipefish)
Lineage: Eukaryota; Metazoa; Chordata; Actinopteri; Syngnathiformes; Syngnathidae
Source: RefSeq, a predicted model, not a curated record
CGUAGUUAAUGUCUGGUGUGACGCAGCAGUUUGACGCAAGUGUGUAACUUCGCCGACGCUGCCACAGAAAUGUAUGUUUUUGCCACUCAUUUCCCCUUCAUGCUGUGCGUAAAUGCACAAAGAGACAUUUUGGGGCAACGAUUGUGCCAAAUGACCACGUGUUCGAAGCACAAGACAUAAAACGAGACGGGCUCACUCUUCCUGGAACGAACCGUCACGGUGGCCGUCUUGGAAAGGUAUCCUCUGCGUUUGAGCGUCACCUCCAGGAAUUUGGCGUCCUCGUCCACAAGGUAGUACUCCCUCUCCAGUGAGAUCCAGGCCCAGUUGAGGCGGAAUGGCUGAGGCUUGAGUUUGUUUCCACCUGAAGGAAGGACGCAAGAAAGCAAAGCUUCAUUAGAUGCAACUGGGUCGUCGGGUGAAGGAAUGGCGGCUCGAUGACAUCUUGGCUUGGACAGGCAGCGGCUUUGCCAUCCGAGAGCAGAUAAGAAUAACCUGUAAGCCGUGCAUCAUGACGCCUCACCCCGCCAUAAAUCACGCUGGGAGAAAUAAAGGAUGAAAAGGGUAUGGAUACGUAGGCGAGGCCAUUCUGGGAAAUAGAUAUGAGACAUAAGCCUCAAAGGGGAAAAAAAGGUGAAGAAAUUAUGAAGACGAAUUGAGGAACAGUUUUUUCUUAUUGGACUUUGAAGGAUUGUGUUCUCCUGAGAUGAUGGUGUUGGUCUUUGAAAGGAGAGCCAUAGUCUUCACUUCCAGGCUCUGCUCUAUCUGUCUGUGGUCCUGGAGUCUGGAGUCUCGCAGGAAGUGCAUUCCACUCCCAGUUUCUCACUGAUCACAUGACACCCUCCCCUUUAACCUCCCUGAACCCUCCACUGCAGUCCUGUACUCUGCACCACCACCCCUAUAUGAUGACCACCGCCCAUCCAAUAAGAUCCACUACAAGGGUAGCAUCGUUGCAUCAUACUGAGAACUGUUUAUUCACAUUUGUGUUACCUUGUUGAGGCCAACAAGUCAGAUUUCAUCAAAAUUAAUACAUAAAAUAAAUCCACUAUUAAAGGAAAACAAAAUAAAGGAAUAGUGUCGUUUA